GUAGAAAUCGGCUGAUUAUGUACUGUUAAGGUUGGAAAUGGAGAAAUAUACACCGGAAAGAACUACAGUACAACGAUGGGUCGCUCUGUACAGUCAGCAGGAGGCAUGAAGAGGAGGGAAGGAAAACCUGAAGGACUGGGAUACGAGAAACGAAGACGAGUAGAGGUUCUGGAGAAGUAUUGUACAUAAAUACAGCACAAUACCUGGUAUUUGAUAUAUCCUGUGUCUAUGUAAACACAAGAAUUAGCGUCGAAUUUUAAUCUUUUUCGAUCCACUCUACACUAUUUACAUACUCAAAAUAAUUAACAUUAUUAUCCUAAUUUUGGGAAAACUCUGAAAUCAUGCAAUCUAAAAUUCCUCUAAAAAUAUUGACGAUGAAAUUAAUUUUCACGCUGAAUACCUGUUUAUUUGACAUGAGCCAUGACAUGAGCCAUAUAUAUUGUAGAGCUUCCUAGAUUCUAUACCCUAGAAGUUAAGGUUUCAAUAUUCAAUUUGUGUAAAAUAUUAUAAAAUUAUGUAAAAAAAAACAUAUA
Molecule: long non-coding RNA, 533 nt
Filed under: Eurytemora carolleeae
Lineage: Eukaryota; Metazoa; Arthropoda; Copepoda; Calanoida; Temoridae
Description: uncharacterized LOC111715766
Source: RNAcentral